AGAGUUAAACAGUACGUGAAAUUGCUAAAAGGGAAACGUUUGAAAUCAGUGUGGUGCCGUGUAAAUCAGUCAUCUGGGUAACUGGGUGGUGCACUUUACGCGGUACUGGUCACCAUCAGUUUGAGAGGGUGUAGAAUACUCGAGGAAGGUAGCUGCUUGCAGUGUUAUAGCCUCGAGGACCCCACCCUCUUGGACUGAGGACCGCAGCAUAGCCGCAAGGCAGGGCUCCCGAGUGGCUAUUGGAAAGGUGGAAGAAGACAGCGUGCUGACUUUAGCUUCUGGACUGAUACUCAUUUGGCGAGCCACUACUAUGCUUAGGAUGGUGACGAAAUGGUUUUAAACGACC
Molecule: non-coding RNA, 346 nt
Filed under: uncultured fungus
Lineage: Eukaryota; Fungi
Also listed under: 1 other name
Source: RNAcentral